GUAGGGAAUAUUGCGCAAUGGGGGAAACCCUGACGCAGCGACGCCGCGUGAGUGAUGAAGGCCUUCGGGUCGUAAAGCUCUGUUGCAGGGGAAUAAAAAAAUGAAGGUACCCUGUGAGGAAGGAUCGGCUAACUUCGUGCCAGCAGCCGCGGUAAGACGAGGGAUCCUAGCGUUGCUCGGAAUCAUUGGGCGUAAAGAGGGCGUAGGUGGCUUGGUAAGUCAGGUGUGAAAGCCCAGGGCUCAACCCUUGAAGUGCAUUUGAUACUGCUGAGCUUGAGUGUCGGAGAGGUUACCGGAAUACCUGGUGUAGUGGUGAAAUACGUAGAUAUCAGGUGGAACACCGGAGGCGAAGGCGGGUAACUGGACGAACACUGACACUGAGGCCCGAAAGCGUGGGGAUCAAACAGGAUUAGAUACCCUUGUAGUCC
RNAcentral lists this ribosomal RNA (428 nucleotides) under uncultured bacterium. RNAcentral's name for it is "partial 16S ribosomal RNA". It matches the Rfam family "Bacterial small subunit ribosomal RNA", at positions 354 to 796 of the family's 1533-position model. The record is from RNAcentral.